Molecule: non-coding RNA, 481 nt
Organism: Paramormyrops kingsleyae
Lineage: Eukaryota; Metazoa; Chordata; Actinopteri; Osteoglossiformes; Mormyridae
Source: RefSeq, a predicted model, not a curated record
GGCUUCACAAGAGCGCAUCUCAGAUACAUACCAGCCAGCGACACACACGCCCCAUUACCCUCCUCUGACGCAACGGCGAUUUUCAGCCACAGAUGGCGCCAGAGGCAGGAGCUCGGAAAGGCGGAGGGAGGACAGCUUCCCCGCUGUAGGGAGAGGGACGCCGAGACAGAUUCAGCCCCACGUACCUCCGCCGGUCCUGAGAGUACACGCUCGGCCGCAGCCAUCAGCUCGUCGGGGGAGACCUCCAGGGGCAUGCCGCGGUGAGAGAACAGGGCCAGCAGGGCGGCAACCAAAGGCUGACGGACAGGCAGGACUCGUUAAGGCCGGACGGCAGCGUCACCAUGGGGAAACAGUUACCCAGACGACCGUGGUUUGGGUCAGCUGACAGUAAGGAAAUGAGGUAGAUCCCCUUCCUGGGUCAAGCAGCUGGUGACUGCUGAGUCUGCACCCAGGGCCAGCAGGUUACUCAGGACCUUCAGAG